CGGCACGGGUGAGUAACACGUAUCCAACCUGCCGUCUACUCUUAGCCAGCCUUCUGAAAGGAAGAUUAAUCCAGGAUGGCAUCAUGAGUUCACAUGUCCGCAUGAUUAAAGGUAUUUUCCGGUAGACGAUGGGGAUGCGUUCCAUUAGAUAGUAGGCGGGGUAACGGCCCACCUAGUCAACGAUGGAUAGGGGUUCUGAGAGGAAGGUCCCCCACAUUGGAACUGAGACACGGUCCAA
Molecule: ribosomal RNA, 238 nt
Filed under: uncultured bacterium
Lineage: Bacteria
Description: partial 16S ribosomal RNA
Rfam family: Bacterial small subunit ribosomal RNA
Source: RNAcentral